This 370-nucleotide RNase P RNA is filed under the name Sphingomonas sp. Leaf357. RNAcentral's name for it is "Bacterial RNase P class A". It matches the Rfam family "Bacterial RNase P class A". From Rfam's summary of the family: Ribonuclease P (RNase P) is a ubiquitous endoribonuclease, found in archaea, bacteria and eukarya as well as chloroplasts and mitochondria. Its best characterised activity is the generation of mature 5'-ends of tRNAs by cleaving the 5'-leader elements of precursor-tRNAs. The record is from Rfam by way of RNAcentral. Lineage: Bacteria; Pseudomonadati; Pseudomonadota; Alphaproteobacteria; Sphingomonadales; Sphingomonadaceae.
CCAGAGGGUCGGGCGACCGCGGGUGUCUUCAGGAUGCGCGAGGAAAGUCCGGGCUCCACGUAACGACGGUGCCGGGUAACGCCCGGCCGGGGUGACCCGAGGGAAAGUGCCACAGAGAGCAGACAGCGAACCGCUUCGGCGACGCGAAAAGUGAAAGGGUGCGGUAAGAGCGCACCGCGCGCCUGGUAACAGGGGCGGCACGGCAAACCCCACCGGGAGCAAGACCGAAUAGGGGCGGCACAUGAGCAUCGUUGCUGCUCGUCGCCCGGGUUGGUCGCUUGAGCCUGUAUGCGAGUGCAGGCCUAGAGGAAUGGUCGCCCAUCCCGCCUCGGCGGGGGGACAGAACCCGGCUUACAGACCCUCUGGCGCU